RNAcentral lists this non-coding RNA (31 nucleotides) under Mus musculus (house mouse). The record is from RNAcentral. Lineage: Eukaryota; Metazoa; Chordata; Mammalia; Rodentia; Muridae.
UGGACCAGCUUAUACGUCUCAAAAAUUUCAG